Thalassophryne amazonica is the source of this 334-nucleotide long non-coding RNA. RefSeq lists it as uncharacterized. The record is from RefSeq and is a predicted model, not a curated record. The transcript is spliced from 2 exons. NCBI's taxonomy places the organism in Eukaryota, Metazoa, Chordata, Actinopteri, Batrachoidiformes, Batrachoididae.
CUUGUGUUUAUCAUGGUGUGAGUGUGUGUAUCACGGUGUGUAUCACUAUGUGUGUGUGCGUGCAUGCAUGCAUGCCUGUAUCACCGUGUAUGUGUGUGUCUCACUGUGUGUGUGUGUUUCAGGUGCGGGUUUUGCAUCCUGUCCCCUGCAGAGGUCAAAUGGCUGUGACCUCUGGUUGUCAUCAGACUAACAUCUGAAGUGUCAUGUGGUGUCACAGCUUCAUGCGUUGUACUGAGGCAUGAUGGGAGAUGCAGUUCUUUCCGUUUAUUGCUGGAAUUUCUUUUUGUACCCAUUUUCAAAACUAAUUUAAGAAAAACAUAAAAGUUGAAACGUG